CGCGGGCGUGGCCGCCGCGGCCCGCCGUCCGAGGGCGGCCGCGGCCCUGUUCGCGGUGGCUCUGGUCGCGUCCCUGGCCCGCGUC
Molecule: transfer RNA, 85 nt
Filed under: Microbispora sp. NBRC 16548
Lineage: Bacteria; Bacillati; Actinomycetota; Actinomycetes; Streptosporangiales; Streptosporangiaceae
Description: tRNA-Arg
Source: RNAcentral